Molecule: long non-coding RNA, 746 nt
Organism: Suricata suricatta (meerkat)
Lineage: Eukaryota; Metazoa; Chordata; Mammalia; Carnivora; Herpestidae
Exons: 3
Source: RefSeq, a predicted model, not a curated record
CCUGCCUUGCCCAACUCACAGGGCAAUGGAAAAGACAGACACAAUGAGCUGGGGUCAGCACCUGUGAAUGUGACCUGCUUUGGAACAUGGGUCUUCGUGAGUGAAAUUAAGGAUGCCAAGAAUUUAUUCUCGGUACGAACAGCCUAAGAUGCACUGGACUUGGGGAUACUGGUCUGAGAAUGAGGUCAGACUGAAGACUCGUGAACAGUGAAAGCCCAGUCCCUUCUGCCUCGGGUCCUGAACCACAGAAAGCCCAACAUACACGCAACUGCCCCAUCCCACCCCAGCAGGAGACUGGACAAGUCUUCCUUGGAGAAACUAGAGGCACCGAAGACCUCCAGGGGACCCUCUGAUAAGCAGGCCAGCUUGCACCCAAUCAUUUGACAGCAGUACCACCCAUGCAUCAGUGAGCUCCAUACCCACAUUCAUAAAUAUGCCCCAUUAGCCAAGGGGGCCUCGACAUUUUAGGAAAGCCACCAACAUGAAAGAGACCAAAACAUGCAAAUAGAUGCUAAAAACCUAGAGGAUACACAGUCAAUGCAGGAAAUACAAAAACAUUGGAGGGGAGGGAACAGUAAUUUAUAUCCUCAGAAAUAUAUGAAAAGAUAACUGAAUUCAUGGAACAAAAAGGGACACUCUGACUUCCCAUGACUUCUUGUCUUUCCCUGGCCUUCUUCGCUCCAGCCACUCCUGGACAGCUGCACCUGCCCCACUUCUCCCCUCAUAGGAGAUGUUACCUCAAUUCA